UGGUAUGUAGCUCAGUGGUAAAGCACUUGCCUAGCAAGUGCAAUGUCCUGGGUUCGAUCCCCAAUACCAA
RNAcentral lists this transfer RNA (70 nucleotides) under Dipodomys ordii (Ord's kangaroo rat). It matches the Rfam family "tRNA". From Rfam's summary of the family: Transfer RNA (tRNA) molecules are approximately 80 nucleotides in length. Their secondary structure includes four short double-helical elements and three loops (D, anti-codon, and T loops). Lineage: Eukaryota; Metazoa; Chordata; Mammalia; Rodentia; Heteromyidae. The record is from Rfam by way of RNAcentral.